GGUUAAGUUAGAAAGGGCGCACGGUGGAUGCCUUGACACUAGGAGUCGAUGAAGGACGGGACUAACGCCGAUAUGCUUCGGGGAGCUGUAAGUAAGCUUUGAUCCGAAGAUUUCCGAAUGGGGAAACCCACCAUACGUAAUGGUAUGGUAUCCUUAUCUGAAUACAUAGGGUAAGGAAGACAGACCCAGGGAACUGAAACAUCUAAGUACCUGGAGGAAGAGAAAGCAAAUGCGAUUUCCUGAGUAGCGGCGAGCGAAACGGAACAUAGCCCAAACCAAGAGGCUUGCCUCUUGGGGUUGUAGGACAUUCUAUACGGAGUUACAAAGGAACGAGGUAGACGAAGCGACCUGGAAAGGUCCGUCGUAGAGGGUAACAACCCCGUAGUCGAAACUUCGUUCUCUCUUGAAUGUAUCCUGAGUACGGCGGAACACGUGAAAUUCCGUCGGAAUCUGGGAGGACCAUCUCCCAAGGCUAAAUACUCCCUAGUGAUCGAUAGUGAACCAGUACCGUGAGGGAAAGGUGAAAAGCACCCCGGAAGGGGAGUGAAAGAGAUCCUGAAACCGUGUGCCUACAAAUAGUCAGAGCCCGUUAACGGGUGAUGGCGUGCCUUUUGUAGAAUGAACCGGCGAGUUACGAUCCCGUGCGAGGUUAAGCUGAAGAGGCGGAGCCGCAGCGAAAGCGAGUCUGAAUAGGGCGUUUAGUACGUGGUCGUAGACCCGAAACCAGGUGAUCUACCCAUGUCCAGGGUGAAGUUCAGGUAACACUGAAUGGAGGCCCGAACCCACGCACGUUGAAAAGUGCGGGGAUGAGGUGUGGGUAGCGGAGAAAUUCCAAUCGAACCUGGAGAUAGCUGGUUCUCCCCGAAAUAGCUUUAGGGCUAGCCUUAAGUGUAAGAGUCUUGGAGGUAGAGCACUGAUUGGACUAGGGGUCCUCAUCGGAUUACCGAAUUCAGUCAAACUCCGAAUGCCAAUGACUUAUCCUUAGGAGUCAGACUGCGAGUGAUAAGAUCCGUAGUCAAAAGGGAAACAGCCCAGACCGCCAGCUAAGGUCCCAAAGUGUGUAUUAAGUGGAAAAGGAUGUGGAGUUGCUUAGACAACUAGGAUGUUGGCUUAGAAGCAGCCACCAUUUAAAGAGUGCGUAAUAGCUCACUAGUCGAGUGACUCUGCGCCGAAAAUGUACCGGGGCUAAAUACACCACCGAAGCUGCGGAUUGAUACCGAAUGGUAUCAGUGGUAGGGGAGCGUUCUAAGGACAGUGAAGUCAGACCGGAAGGACUGGUGGAGUGCUUAGAAGUGAGAAUGCCGGUAUGAGUAGCGAAAGACGGGUGAGAAUCCCGUCCACCGAAUGCCUAAGGUUUCCUGAGGAAGGCUCGUCCGCUCAGGGUUAGUCAGGACCUAAGCCGAGGCCGACAGGCGUAGGCGAUGGACAACAGGUUGAUAUUCCUGUACCACCUCUUUAUCGUUUGAGCAAUGGAGGGACGCAGAAGGAUAGAAGAAGCGUGCGAUUGGUUGUGCACGUCCAAGCAGUUAGGCUGAUAAGUAGGCAAAUCCGCUUAUCGUGAAGGCUGAGCUGUGAUGGGAAGCUCCUUAUGGAGCGAAGUCUUUGAUUCCCCGCUGCCAAGAAAAGCUUCUAGCGAGAUAAAAGGUGCCUGUACCGCAAACCGACACAGGUAGGCGAGGAGAGAAUCCUAAGGUGUGCGAGAGAACUCUGGUUAAGGAACUCGGCAAAAUGACCCCGUAACUUCGGGAGAAGGGGUGCUUUCUUAACGGAAAGCCGCAGUGAAUAGGCCCAAGCGACUGUUUAGCAAAAACACAGCUCUCUGCGAAGCCGUAAGGCGAAGUAUAGGGGUGACACCUGCCCGGUGCUGGAAGGUUAAGGAGAGGGGUUAGCGUAAGCGAAGCUCUGAACUGAAGCCCCAGUAAACGGCGGCCGUAACUAUAACGGUCCUAAGGUAGCGAAAUUCCUUGUCGGGUAAGUUCCGACCCGCACGAAAGGUGUAACGAUUUGGGCACUGUCUCAACCAGAGACUCGGUGAAAUUAUAGUACCUGUGAAGAUGCAGGUUACCCGCGACAGGACGGAAAGACCCCGUGGAGCUUUACUGUAGCCUGAUAUUGAAUUUUGGUACAGUUUGUACAGGAUAGGCGGGAGCCUUUGAAACCGGAGCGCUAGCUUCGGUGGAGGCGCUGGUGGGAUACCGCCCUGACUGUAUUGAAAUUCUAACCUACGGGUCUUAUCGACCCGGGAGACAGUGUCAGGUGGGCAGUUUGACUGGGGCGGUCGCCUCCUAAAGUGUAACGGAGGCGCCCAAAGGUUCCCUCAGAAUGGUUGGAAAUCAUUCGUAGAGUGCAAAGGCAUAAGGGAGCUUGACUGCGAGACCUACAAGUCGAGCAGGGACGAAAGUCGGGCUUAGUGAUCCGGUGGUUCCGCAUGGAAGGGCCAUCGCUCAACGGAUAAAAGCUACCCCGGGGAUAACAGGCUUAUCUCCCCCAAGAGUCCACAUCGACGGGGAGGUUUGGCACCUCGAUGUCGGCUCAUCGCAUCCUGGGGCUGUAGUCGGUCCCAAGGGUUGGGCUGUUCGCCCAUUAAAGCGGUACGCGAGCUGGGUUCAGAACGUCGUGAGACAGUUCGGUCCCUAUCCGUCGUGGGCGUAGGAAAUUUGAGAGGAGCUGUCCUUAGUACGAGAGGACCGGGAUGGACGCACCGCUGGUGUACCAGUUGUUCUGCCAAGGGCAUAGCUGGGUAGCUAUGUGCGGAAGGGAUAAGUGCUGAAAGCAUCUAAGCAUGAAGCCCCCCUCAAGAUGAGAUUUCCCAUAGCGUAAGCUAGUAAGAUCCCUGAAAGAUGAUCAGGUUGAUAGGUUCGAGGUGGAAGCAUGGUGACAUGUGGAGCUGACGAAUACUAAUAGAUCGAGGACUUAACCAU
RNAcentral lists this ribosomal RNA (2921 nucleotides) under Bacillus pacificus. Its description in RNAcentral is "23S ribosomal RNA". It matches the Rfam family "Bacterial large subunit ribosomal RNA". Lineage: Bacteria; Bacillati; Bacillota; Bacilli; Caryophanales; Bacillaceae. The record is from RNAcentral.